Molecule: ribosomal RNA, 484 nt
Filed under: uncultured bacterium
Lineage: Bacteria
Description: partial 16S ribosomal RNA
Rfam family: Bacterial small subunit ribosomal RNA
Source: RNAcentral
AUUGAACGCUGGCGGCAUGCCUAACACAUGCAAGUCGAGCGGAUGAAGGGAGCUUUCUCCUGGAUUCAGCGGCGGACGGGUGAGUAAUGCCUAGGAAUCUGCCUGAUAGUGAGGGAUAACGUCCGGACACGGGCGCUAAUCCCGCAUACGUCCUGAUGGAGAAAGUGGGGGAUCUUCGGACAUCACGCUAUCAGAUGAGCCUAGGUCGGAUUAGCUAGUUGGUGGGGUAACGGCGUACCAAGGCGACGAUCCGUAGCUGGUCUGAGAGGAUGAUCAGUCACACUGGAACUGAGACACGGUCCAGACUCCUACGGGAGGCAGCAGUGGGGAAUCUUCGACAAUGGGCGAAAGCCUGAUGCAGCCAUGCCGCGUGUGUGAAGAAGGUCUUCGGAUUGUAAAGCACUGUAAGUAGGGAGGAAGGGAAGUAAGAUAAUACAUUGCUGUUUUGACGUUACCAACAGAAUAAGCACCGGCUAACUUCGUG